Neodiprion virginianus is the source of this 6832-nucleotide RNA transcript. It is a transcript of the gene named kinesin light chain, with no coding region annotated. The record is from RefSeq and is a predicted model, not a curated record. Lineage: Eukaryota; Metazoa; Arthropoda; Insecta; Hymenoptera; Diprionidae. The transcript is spliced from 10 exons.
AAACGCGACGAGGAACGGGGCUGCUCUCUUCGUCUCAUAUAUAGCGGACAUAAAUUUAUUCUCGCAUAUUUUUGUACUUUCGUGUGUUCGGGUGAUGAAUUGAAAUUUUUUUACAAAUAGAACAAAAGGACCGAUUGCCAUUUUAAGUGCUCUCGUACGUUAUAACAUAUCGAGUGUGUGACAACUGUGACAAUAUCCCUCGCGAAUGUCCAUAGAAUAAGAAAGAAAAGAGAAAAACAGAAUGAAAUAUAAAUUGAUUUAAUUGAAUAUUUAGUACGUUUCGUAUAUAAUAAGCGAUUAGGUAGGUUGAAAGAAUAAGAAAAAAAAAUAGAUACAAAUUCUUUGAUUACUGAUGGGUAGAACAGAUAUGUCAAAAACGCUGAACGCUUAUAGAAUUAAGAAAAUCGAACAUAUAGGCAGAAUGACAGCCAUGACACAGGAGGAGAUAGUAGCCGGCGCUCGGACGGUGGCCCAGGGACUGGAGGCUCUUCGCUGUGAACACGGGGGUCUCCUGCAGGGUCUACAGUCUCAGGAGGCACCAGCGGCGAGGGAAAAGGCCAGUCUAAUAUCCAGGAAUAUUGAAAUGAUCGAAUUGGGUCUUGGAGAAGCACAAGUCAUGAUGGCCUUGGCUAGUCACUUACAAAUGGUCGAAGCUGAGAAGCAGAAACUCAGAACGCAAGUUAGACGAUUGUGUCAGGAAAAUGCAUGGCUCAGAGACGAGCUUGCAGGAACUCAACAGAAGUUGCAGGGCAGUGAACAAGCGGUUGCACAACUAGAAGUAGAGAAGAGGCAGCUGAACUUUAUGGCCAGCAUAAGACAAUUUGAUCCUGAUCCACCAGCUGAGGAUGAAAAUACAAAGGAUAGGCCGAAAGAUGAUCCAGUUGUUGAUCUGUUCCCGGAUGAUGAUAACGAUGAUCGAACCAUGACACCAACUCCACCAUCUCAGUUCGCCCAACAAGUGAAUGCUGGAUACGAAAUACCAGCACGUCUCCGUACUCUACAUAAUCUUGUUAUCCAAUAUGCGAGUCAAGGGCGUUACGAAGUGGCAGUACCACUGUGCAAGCAGGCGUUAGAAGACCUUGAAAAAACAUCUGGUCAUGAUCACCCCGAUGUUGCAACGAUGCUAAAUAUUUUAGCCCUAGUUUACAGAGAUCAAAACAAGUUCAAAGAGGCAGCAAAUCUGCUUAAUGAUGCUUUAGCCAUCAGAGAAAAAACUUUGGGUGAAAAUCACCCAGCUGUUGCUGCAACGUUAAAUAACUUGGCUGUUUUAUAUGGUAAACGUGGGAAAUAUAAGGAAGCUGAGCCGUUAUGCAAGCGUGCAUUGGAGAUUCGGGAAAAGGUACUUGGACGUGAGCAUCCAGAUGUUGCAAAACAGUUGAAUAAUUUGGCGCUGUUGUGUCAAAACCAGGGAAAAUAUGAGGAGGUUGAACGCUACUAUCAACGUGCUUUAGUAAUUUACGAAUCAAAGUUAGGGCCAGACGAUCCAAACGUUGCAAAGACAAAAAAUAAUCUUGCCUCUUGUUACCUCAAACAAGGAAAAUAUAAGGAGGCGGAGGUUCUCUACAAACAGGUCCUAACAAGAGCUCAUGAACGUGAAUUUGGGGCAAUUGAAGGUGACAACAAACCAAUAUGGCAGGUAGCGGAAGAGCGUGAAGAAAAUAAACAUAGAAAUAAGGAAAACGCGCCAUAUGGUGAAUAUGGUGGUUGGCAUAAAGCAGCAAAAGUCGAUUCACCUACGGUAACUACAACACUCAAAAACUUAGGCGCACUUUACCGGCGACAGGGAAAAUAUGAGGCUGCUGAAACGCUUGAAGACUGUGCGUUGAGGUCACGAAGAGAGCCGCACGUACAGCAGGCGCUAGACUUAGUGAAGCAGGCGAAAGUAGCACAGAUCCUUGGAGAUGAGAAAGGAUCAACAAGGCGAGGCUCACGAUCGAGUUUGGCAAACAGCGAGCAAGAACAGCACGACGAGUUUUUUUCGUUGUCCGGCCCGAAUCCACGAUUCGACGACUCGACACUCAAUCACAGACCUCGCUGCCGUUGGUACAAGGGGCGCUGCACGAAGAACAGUCUGGCCAUCAAGAUGCUAGCCCAAACAAACCAGGACUCAAAACCAAACUGUUCAAUGUUCUUGGAAUUCAUUCUUCUACGUAGGACGUUGCUCUGAUUGUUUGAUUGUUCUCUUGUUUGUUCCUUUGUUAACUUGGGGUUGUUUUAGAUAACGCAGCACUAGAUUCGUCGAUAUUUAUAGUUGAAAAAAAAUUCAUACAACUGAAUUUCCCACAGCAACAAAGUAUACUCUUCAACUACAUAAACAGCUUUUAUUUCAACUGAAUUCGGAAAUAAAUAUUUUGCUUCUAGGAUAAUAAUUAAACGUUUCUCAGGCAAGUUUUGCGUUCAAUCAUGUGAAGAAUAUGACUUUAAACUGCUAUUUUGGCAUCAUGUUUUCGGAUAAAAUCUUGACUCGAGGCUAAGAGCAUCUGAUUAUAGAUUCAAAAUUAUUUCCGUUCAAAAGCAAUUAAUAAAGCUUAUCAUCGAAUUGAUUAUCCAUACUUUCAUAUUAAACGUGAAGCAAAAAAACCUGCUACAAACAGACGACGAUUUCUUGGAGAUGAAAACAAGCUAUUGAGUGCUGUUGAAAUUCGCUAAUUUGUAAUUUCUGGAAGGAUAGAGUGAAUUAAAUUGCUACAUCGGAUCAAAUCGUUUAUAUAACAUUAAUAAUACAUUAUUUUUGAAAGUUGAGGCAGCGUUUUACCGAAGCAAUUGAUGAUGAAGUCGAUUUGUCCGGGGUGCUUCAUAGUCGGGAUUGUACAUCUUGUUGAAAACGAAAUUAUUUACAACAAUAUAUACGUUUAUGCUCGCAAAACUAUUUAACCAUGCCUAAUACAUCGUUGUUAGCAAGAUAUCGUAGAAUUGUGCCGCGAUAAAUAUAACGAAUAGUCUUCCUCUGUUGAAAACAUUACAGAUAAUCUAUUCACGAAACAACUACACAAUUUAGUAUUCUAUUAACCAAAUUACUGUUAUCUUGAAGCGAUAAUUCACAAUGAUACAUUAUUACAUUUGCUUUGCAUAACUAUAUAGCUGAGUAUAGAUACGCAAAGGCAAUUUUUUAAACACCCUAUUCACGAAUAUACUUAUGUUCUGAAUACUGUGGGGACGAGGCUCGAUGUUCAAGUCAUUUAUAUUCGCAGUGAUUCUCUCAUAAUUUGAUAGUCUACAUUGUUCUAUUUUUAGUAAAGUUCACACUUUGCAAGGGUUUUAUCAUGAUUUUACAAAAUGUUCGAAACAAUUUUUAUAUAUCGUUUUUUUACUGUAUCAAUCUCUUUUUACGUCCUGCAUGUGCAUAUUUCUAAGAAAAAUUUAAUUCUGGGUACUUGAGUAUCGUUUUAUUUAGUUCACUAUGUUGCGCCGAACUUUUCAAAUUUAGGUAAAAUCAUUUUUAACAAACUCAUUCAUUUUUAGCUAACAAGUAUAAUACAUCAGGAUAAAAUAAGAGCUCUAUAUUCAAUCGAGAUCAGGCUCAUAUUUACACAGUCAUAAAAUUUGGCACCUGGAUGCCAAAAACAAAAAUAGUAUACGUAGAAAUAUAUAUAUAUCACGAUUAGUAUUUAAUAAAGUUGUAACAAAAGCCGUUUAUUCAGUAUAAAACGCAGAAAAACUAAUCGAUAACGCAUACAGGUCGCGCAGAAUAUUUGUCAGGCUAUUUAUAAAAGUUAUACUUUGAUAUGAGGGACCCUGUAUUAAUUUUUUUUUUUUUUUUUUUCAUUUUCAUUUUUACCUUUAUAGAAUAAUUAAGUUUCUUACGAAGUAAUGUUAAUUGUUUAACUUUAUUACUAGAUAGAAUUCAAGUCUAAGAUUUCAAUUGAUUGUUCCAAGAGUUUAAAGAACAGUUAUUAUAGGAAAACUGUAAAACAGUGAAGGGUAGUGCCUUGAUACUUUAACAAAUCAAUAAAUUAUUUUACAAAAGUGAAAGAUUAUUAUUUAUAAAUAAAAGUUAUUCACGCUGUCUCUGUCAUAGUAAGAUUUUGUUAAAAGCCCUUGUCUUUUUUACUGCAUGGGAUUUAACCGUUUCUCGUAGGCAUAUAUCCAUUCAAUAGGAAUUUCAAAAACGGUAUACAUUGUAUUGAUGCAGAGCAUAAUUAGGUAACAGUUGAGUGUCUUCUCUGGUAAUCCGUUCAAAAAAAUUAUCUACUUAGUCUAGAUGAUUGAUCAUUGUCACGAUAGAUUUCCAUUUGAAGCUCUUUUGGCGAAAUAAUAACAGUAGACUGUUGUACUCAUUCUGAAUACUAAAAUUUUGAUUAAUGUUGAGGGUGUAAACCAAUUUUGAAGACAAGAUAGUUGAAUUUGAUACACUUAGAAGAAUGCUUGCAUAUCGUAUUACAAAACGUUAAGAACUUAGGUCAUAAUUAUAAGAUCUGCAUCAUUAUUUCUAAAUUCUAAAAUCAGAAGCCGUAUUAAAGAUGUUAGAUUUAAUUUCUGUUGCCGAUCGCCAUCGCAGUAUCUAAGAUAUUAUUUUACAUGGUUUUACAUUUUACAUAAUCAGGAUCGAGGUCAUCGAGGUUUUUAUGCAUCUUUACCUUUGACUCGUAUUAGGUUUUCUUUCAUAUACUUGCGUUCGUAUUUUUUCGACUUUAUUUGAAUACCGCGGGCCUGGGGUUUAGGUACGGAUGCCAGCAGAUCAUCAAAAUCGAAAUAACCAGACGGAAUGUACCUAAAAUAAACAGGAUCGCAAACACGCUGUUCGUGCCCAGUAACCAGGAUAUAAAAGAAACAUUCAAAUGAAGGCCAAGGACUCGACAAUGUUUUACUAAAAUGUUGCCCGACGUCCACAAGACCUACAUCAUAUGGUUUCUCAGCACAUUCCAGCUGCUUUUAAAUUGAUACGAGAUUUCAGGCUUAUCUAGGUGGGUUCAUUAAAUACUUAAUCAGUUCAAAUACAGUGAUCACCAAGCAAACGUAACAACUUCUUGACAUGCUCAUUUUAGGAAACGAGUGACAACGAUUCGAAAUAAAAAUUCACUCUAAUGGUAACCCCAAUUCUUUUCAUACUUAUAUUACUUUUAAUGUGUAAAAAUUUGUUAUAGGUGAGCGUAUAUUAUUAAUUGUAAAGCAGGUCAUCAAAUCCUGCAUGGAUUAUAUUUCCCAAAAUAUCACCUUUGCAAGCCUGUGCUCUGUAUCAAAAUAAAUCGUUACAACGUCAAAAUCUAUUUGCACAGACCUAGUAAUGUAGCGGAAUAACUUUGUGGCGUUAUCACUUUCUAGUUCAUCAUGCAUAUUUAAUUGAAUGAGAAAAAACAAAUACGUAUCCACAGAAUGGAAAAAAAAGAAGAAAAACUAUGUAAAUAAAUACUGGCAAACUACAACCGAUUUUUGCAGCAUGUAAUACUGUUAACUUGACUGGAAAAUAAUAAAAAAAAAAAAAAAACAGUAGCAGAAAACGGACAUAUUAUCGCUUUGAAUGCUAUGUGCAAGGACAUUCUCAAUGAGCGUUUAUCGUCAAGAAUGAAGUUGUCAUCUUGGCAAUUGAAGAACUCUCUGUGAUGUUAUCAUUUGUUUGGUCUUCUUUUUUCUUCCUCAAUGUAUGUAGUGCAAAACUGGUCAAGUUUUCCAUUUGUAUUACUAUGUGUCCUAUAUACAAAUAUGCAAUACGCCUUAUACUCAUUCUUAGCUUGAACUAAAGACAUUUCCUUUUUUAAACGAUGGAUUAUUAUUACAUACAUCAAUUCCAUGCUAUGAUGGUUUAUUCUUAAGUUAUUUGGUGAAAGGUGAGCCUCUCGAGUAGAGGUCAUGUCAACAAAUAAUUUUCAAAAACUUCUUACGACAGUGCGUCAAUAUUUUCCGGAGACCCAAAUCAAGAUGUUUUAUCAUUAUUUAAAUUAGUUUACUGUACUUAAUAACAAUAUUGCAAGGUUUGUACUUUUUUUUUUACACAAGUAAUCACAUUGAAACUGGCCGUUUGCUAUGUAUAUUUGUUACCUUCUAAUUGCGAUUGGCAGCUAAUUUAUUUCGCAAUUAAUUUUUCUGGGUACUCAUCCAGAGUAGAUCUCUCUCUCUCAGAGAUGAUAAUACGUACAUUUCUGAAAUUUAUAUUAUAACAGCAGUGUUUGAUGAACAAUUAGUAUAACAACAGAGGUCAGUAGAUUCGGUUGCCUAACGUGGUAAUCCCAUCGGAGCUAUUCUAAACAGUUAGUAGAAGGCUUGUUAUGCUUUCAUCUUUUUAAAAAGGUUCUCAGAAAUUAUCGACUAUAUAAUAUAUUUAAUCACGUAUAGCACUGUGAAAACAAUACAAUUAUAAAAAGUGUAACAAGGCGGUGAUUGUUAAGCGUUUGAAAUUGCUUGGGGUUAAACUGAUUAAGUUCCUUGCAAUGUGAGAAACUUAAAUUGCGUGAAAUUUAUAUUUUAUUAAACAGAAUAACUGAAGCUGUGUGAGAAUUUAUACAUUUUGCUACCAUUAAUCAUUUGGAUUUUAGAGUUUGUUUGCAGUAUUAGACCCCUCUCCUGUAUCUGGGCUUUUUUCUUUUUUUAAUAAAACUUUUAUCAAGCCAGUGAAAAUUAGGACAAAUAUUCUAUUCUCAAAAACUGUUGUAAUAUGAUUGAGGUGUUGCGAAUAAUCUAUUCUCAGUAUUUAAAAAUUAAAGUUAGGUUACAGAUUAUUUAAGUUAAUAUUGUUGGAGAAAACGAAGCCUAUCUUAUAAUAAAAACUAUGAAAAUAUGUAAGCUAUAUUUCCUUGUGACUCAAGAAUGGCAAUUAUUAUUAUUACGAAAAAGAAAAUAAAACGUGAUAAUCUGUAAGCUUUGGUUUAUAAUAAAUAUUCUAACUUGUAUACUGAAA